RNAcentral lists this long non-coding RNA (1521 nucleotides) under Cricetulus griseus (Chinese hamster). RNAcentral's name for it is "lncRNA (ENSCGRG00015037812.1)". Lineage: Eukaryota; Metazoa; Chordata; Mammalia; Rodentia; Cricetidae. The record is from RNAcentral.
GAGCGGGGGGCGGCAAAACUCUAAGAGCAUGUGUGACAUGGUCCUAUCCCAACACACAGGAGCGCACACGUGCACAGGUGUGACCUCUGCACACAGGCAGAUGUGCACACACAUCCAGAAGGCUUUAGCACAGAAACUGUGGCCUCUGAGGCUUGGCUGUCCAUCAGCCUGCAAAGCAGAAGCCGAGGUUUGCAGCCUGGUGUGGAGAAUGGAGAGGGCCCCGCCUUGUUAAUGGCAGAAGCCUUUACUCCCUAAGCAGCUUUCGAGAGCUCCAUUGCUCUUUAAUUAUCUGGAAAUAGAGAGUGCAGCCCGCACCCCACUAGUGUUACAGUGGAGGAAGUCAGGGCAUCCCUUAAUUACCUGAUCCAUAUGAAGAUUGUCACACAUCAUUCUUCCAGAGCCAAUGGUUCUCUCUCUCUCCCUCCCUCUCCCUCCCUCUCUCUCUCUCUCUCUCCCCAAGACCUGCACCAUCUCUCAAUAAUGAUGCAAGAUGAGGGGAAGAGAAUCCCAGAGCCAGGUUCUGCCAGGGUGGGGGACUGCUGAGGGCUCCAACCGGGAUCCCUGGGCAGUGCCCCGCUGGGCUGGGGCUCCCAUGCAGCAGAAAGGGAGCCGAUGGCUGAGAAAUAAAAUGGAAUGCGCAUCUCCUGCCUGCCACCGUCCUUCACACCACAUCUCCCGGAAUAAAAAACAGUCCUCUCCUGGCAUCUGUACCCCCCCAACAGUUUAGGACCAUUAUAUUAAAUAAUGGUAAUCACAAGUGUCUCUCUGUUCCGUCCGCCACGGCAGCCUGUUCACUUUAAAGCUCUCAAGCCCGAGGUCAGGGCCCCUCUGCUUGCUUAGAUAAAUCUUGCUCGGCACAGAUGCUCACAAAUCCCGCACAGGUCCUUUGUUGUGUGUUCUUUGUUUGAAAUACGGCAUGCCCUUCUGAGGAUGCGCCUGCCUCGGUGCCAGCUGUCCACCUCUGCAUAUUAAAUUGUGGCCACAGCUCCCAUGGCAGCUGAGGGGAGGGAGAAGAGUAGGGAAGGGAAGGAGAGGACAGAAAAGGGAAGGGAAGAAGCUGGCGGCAGAACCCCAUCCACCUGUGUCCCCACCCUCAGUUCAGCCAACCUAGGCAUCCCCAAGGCUGAGGAACCUCUCUUUUGUUCUUAGUCCCCUGCUCAGUCUCAGCCUCACGAAUCAUUUGCAUCAUUUAUUCUUUAAUAACUCAAUGAAAUCAAAAGAUACAGUCAUGUCCCUGCAGCAAGGAAGAAUGGGUAAAUGGGAAUGGUGGGAGGUUCUAGAAGGGCAGAAUGGGUAAAUGGGAAUGGUGGAAGGUUCUGGAAGGGCGUUGCAUUAAGGAAGCCCAAGAGCAGGGAGUGAACAGUAGAGAUUCCCUCUGCUCCAUAUGCCUGGCCUUGCUCGGGGCACAUACUGCUGCCAUCAGCCCCCAGGGACAGUGGUUCUGCCCCCUGCUUCAGCUUUGUCUCCUUUUCUAGUGGCUUCAAUAGUGUGUCCCCAGAUGCAUCCCAAUUUGGACUAAGA